AGAGUUUGAUCAUGGCUCAGGAUGAGCGCUGGCGGCGCUGCCUAACACAUGCAAGUCGAGCGAUUUACUUCGGUAAAGAGCGGCGGACGGGUGAGUAACGCGUGGGUAACCUGCCCUGUACACACGGAUAACAUACCGAAAGGUAUGCUAAUACGGGAUAACAUAUUUUGAUGGCAUCAUCGAAAUAUCAAAGCUCCGGCGGUACAGGAUGGACCCGCGUCUGAUUAGCUAGUUGGUGAGGUAAUGGCUCACCAAGGCGACGAUCAGUAGCCGACCUGAGAGGGUGAUCGGCCACAUUGGAACUGAGACACGGUCCAAACUCCUACGGGAGGCAGCAGUGGGGAAUAUUGCACAAUGGGCGAAAGCCUGAUGCAGCAACGCCGCGUGAGCGAUGAAGGCCUUCGGGUCGUAAAGCUCUGUCCUCAAGGAAGAUAAUGACGGUACUUGAGGAGGAAGCCCCGGCUAACUACGUGCCAGCAGCCGCGGUAAUACGUAGGGGGCUAGCGUUAUCCGGAAUUACUGGGCGUAAAGGGUGCGUAGGUGGUUUUUUAAGUCAGAAGUGAAAGGCUACGGCUCAACCGUAGUAAGCUUUUGAAACUGAGAAACUUGAGUGCAGGAGAGGAGAGUAGAAUUCCUAGUGUAGCGGUGAAAUGCGUAGAUAUUAGGAGGAAUACCAGUUGCGAAGGCGGCUCUCUGGACUGUAACUGACACUGAGGCACGAAAGCGUGGGGAGCAAACAGGAUUAGAUACCCUGGUAGUCCACGCCGUAAACGAUGAGUACUAGGUGUCGGGGGUUACCCCCCUCGGUGCCGCAGCUAACGCAUUAAGUACUCCGCCUGGGAAGUACCCUCGCAAGAGUGAACUCAAGGAAUUGACGG
This 878-nucleotide ribosomal RNA is filed under the name uncultured bacterium. Its description in RNAcentral is "bacterial SSU rRNA". It matches the Rfam family "Bacterial small subunit ribosomal RNA", at positions 8 to 916 of the family's 1533-position model. The record is from RNAcentral.